This 253-nucleotide ribosomal RNA is filed under the name uncultured bacterium. RNAcentral describes it as "partial 16S ribosomal RNA". It matches the Rfam family "Bacterial small subunit ribosomal RNA", at positions 524 to 776 of the family's 1533-position model. The record is from RNAcentral.
UACGUAGGGUGCAAGCGUUAAUCGGAAUUACUGGGCGUAAAGCGUGCGCAGGCGGUUUUGUAAGUCUGUCGUGAAAGCCCCGGGCUCAACCUGGGAAUUGCGAUGGAGACUGCAAGGCUUGAAUCUGGCAGAGGGCGGUAGAAUUCCACGUGUAGCAGUGAAAUGCGUAGAGAUGUGGAGGAACACCGAUGGCGAAGGCAGCCCCCUGGGUCAAGAUUGACGCUCAUGCACGAAAGCGUGGGGAGCAAACAGG